CUUCGGCCUGCCGGCGAGUGGCGAACGGGUGAGUAAUGCAUCGGAACGUACCCAUGUUGUGGGGGAUAACGUAGCGAAAGCUACGCUAAUACCGCAUAAGCCCUGAGGGGGAAAGCGGGGGAUUCUUCGGAACCUCGCGCAAUUGGAGCGGCCGAUGUCAGAUUAGCUAGUUGGUAGGGUAAAGGCCUACCAAGGCGACGAUCUGUAGCGGGUCUGAGAGGAUGAUCCGCCACACUGGGACUGAGACACGGCCCAGACUCCUACGGGAGGCAGCAGUGGGGAAUUUUGGACAAUGGGGGCAACCCUGAUCCAGCCAUGCCGCGUGAGUGAAGAAGGCCUUCGGGUUGUAAAGCUCUUUCAGUUGGGAAGAAACGGGGUUCUCUAACAUAGAGCUCUAAUGACGGUACCGACAGAAGAAGCACCGGCUAACUACGUGCCAGCAGCCGCGGUAAUACGUAGGGUGCGAGCGUUAAUCGGAAUUACUGGGCGUAAAGCGUGCG
This 500-nucleotide ribosomal RNA is filed under the name uncultured bacterium. RNAcentral's name for it is "bacterial SSU rRNA". It matches the Rfam family "Bacterial small subunit ribosomal RNA", at positions 78 to 571 of the family's 1533-position model. The record is from RNAcentral.